This 436-nucleotide ribosomal RNA is filed under the name uncultured bacterium. Its description in RNAcentral is "bacterial SSU rRNA". It matches the Rfam family "Bacterial small subunit ribosomal RNA", at positions 954 to 1392 of the family's 1533-position model. The record is from RNAcentral.
GCAGAACGCGAAGAACCUUACCUGGUCUUGACAUGUCUGGAAUCCCGAAGAGAUUUGGGAGUGCCGCAAGGAACCAGAACACAGGUGCUGCAUGACUGUCGUCAGCUCGUGUCGUGAGAUGUUGGGUUAAGUCCCGCAACGAGCGCAACCCUUGUCCUUAGUUGCCAUCAUUCAGUUGGGCACUCUAGAGAGACCGCCGUGAACAACGCGGAGGAAGGUGGGGACGACGUCAAGUCAUCAUGGCCCUUACGUCUUGGGCUACACACGUGCUACAAUGGAUGUUACAGAGGGUCGCAAUGCCGCAAGGUGGAGCCAAUCCCUAAAAGCAUCCUCAGUUCAGAUCGGGGUCUGCAACUCGACCCCGUGAAGGUGGAAUCGCUAGUAAUCGCGGAUCAGCAUGCCGCGGUGAAUACGUUCCCGGGUCUUGUACACACCG